GCCCGAUUAGCUCAGCUGGUUAGAGCGUCGUACUAAUACUGGAAACAGUGUAUAGUAAUGCGAAGGUCAACAGUUCAAUCCUGUUAUUGGGCA
RNAcentral lists this transfer RNA (93 nucleotides) under Apiosordaria backusii. RNAcentral describes it as "tRNA-Ile". Lineage: Eukaryota; Fungi; Ascomycota; Sordariomycetes; Sordariales; Lasiosphaeriaceae. The record is from RNAcentral.